CAUAGCACAGGAUACUACCCAUUUCUUUUGCAAAACAACUAAAGAGACCGAAAGCCCUCACCUGAAGUGAAGCUGAAAAAAACACCACUUUGUCCCAAUAGAAUAUGGAGAUUGAAAAGUGAUCUUUAAAGAAUUUGGCAUUCUUCUUCAGCUACAAUAUCCAUGAAUUUGCAAUAAAUAACUUAUCUCUAUUGCAUUUUCCACUCCUUACUCAUACCAAAACAAUGUAGAAAAAGUUGAUGGAAACCUCAAUACCUAAACCGCCAUCCUUCUUAGGAAGGAGCGAACCUCCCAACUACCAAGAUGAUCUCUAUUCUCACCAGCAUCCAACCACCGAAAGCAUCUCGUAAUUUGUUUAGUGCUCUUGGCUACUAUUGCCGAAUUCUAAAAAGGGAAAGGUAAUGCAUGGGAUGCUAGAUAAGCAUGUAAUCAGCAAAGUUACUCUAGCACCAAUAGAGAAAAUGGCAACCUUCCAACUUCCUAACUCUUAGAAAUCUUCCCCACAACUGAAUCUCAAAGAAGAUCUAGGAUUCCUCCUCCCCAAAGGAACUCCAAGAUACAUAAUCAGCUUUCCCAAAAUAUAACAUUUUACAAUAGUGUUCAAAUUCCUAAUAACAUUCUCCUCCACAUUAAUGUCUGCCAAGACAGUCUUAUUUUAGACGUGAAACAUAUAUAGAUAGGUCGUGGGCUGUAAUAUUUCAGCAGAGAUUCAAUAACAAGGUUUCUCCUUUUCUCUGUAGCUCUUUCUAACAACAUGGUAUUAAAGCGUCUGCAAUCUAAAGGAGUGUGCUAUUUUUAUCACUCAUCUGUAGGCUUAAGUUUUGCUAUUGGAGUGUACACACUUGCAGAUUUUACUGAUUGCAAACUAGUUGAUUCAUCUGUGAAUUUGCAAGGAAGUGAUCAUUGUUGAUGCAAAAAAAAAAAACCAGCUUGGGAGUAAGAAUGGCUUGCUUUAUGAGAACCUAUCCUUGCAAAUAGGUCGUAUGGAGUUAGAUGGAAUUUUACUUGUGUGGUUAACAUCCUCUUUAUGGUUCAUC
Molecule: long non-coding RNA, 1037 nt
Filed under: Carica papaya (papaya)
Lineage: Eukaryota; Viridiplantae; Streptophyta; Magnoliopsida; Brassicales; Caricaceae
Description: long non-coding RNA (CPAP_LNC014486)
Source: RNAcentral